CUAAUACCGUAUACGCCCUACGGGGSAAAAAUUUAUUGCUAUUAGAUGAGCCUAUAUUAGAUUAGCUAGUUGGUGGAGUAAUAGCCUACCAAGGCAAUGAUCUAUAGCUGAUCUGAGAGGAUGAUCAGCCACACUGGAACUGAGWUAYGSYCYAGACUCCUACGARAGGCAGCAGUGGGGAAUAUUGGACAAUGGGCGAAAGCCUGAUCCAGCCAUGCCGCAUGAGUGAAGAAGGCCUUUGGGUUGUAAAGCUCUUUUAGUGAGGAAGAUAAUGACGGUACUCACAGAAGAAGUCCUGGCUAACUCCGUGCCAGCAGCCGCGGUAAUACGGAGAGGGCUAGCGUUAUUCGGAAUUAUUGGGCGUAAAGGGCGCGUAGGCUGGUUAAUAAGUUAAAAGUGAAAUCCCGAGGCUUAACCUUGGAAUUGCUUUUAAAACUAUUAAUCUAGAGAUUGAAAGAGGAUAGAGGAAUUCCUGAUGUAGAGGUA
Molecule: ribosomal RNA, 486 nt
Filed under: Wolbachia endosymbiont of Aedes albopictus
Lineage: Bacteria; Pseudomonadati; Pseudomonadota; Alphaproteobacteria; Rickettsiales; Anaplasmataceae
Description: bacterial SSU rRNA
Rfam family: Bacterial small subunit ribosomal RNA
Source: RNAcentral